CCCCUGGACAAAGACUGACGCUCAGGUGCGAAAGCGUGGGGAGCAAACAGGAUUAGAUACCCUGGUAGUCCACGCCGUAAACGAUGUCUACUUGGAGGUUGUGCCCUUGAGGCGUGGCUUCCGGAGCUAACGCGUUAAGUAGACCGCCUGGGGAGUACGGCCGCAAGGUUAAAACUCAAAUGAAUUGACGGGGGCCCGCACAAGCGGUGGAGCAUGUGGUUUAAUUCGAUGCAACGCGAAGAACCUUACCUGGUCUUGACAUCCACAGAACUUUCCAGAGAUGGAUUGGUGCCUUCGGGAACUGUGAGACAGGUGCUGCAUGGCUGUCGUCAGCUCGUGUUGUGAAAUGUUGGGUUAAGUCCCGCAACGAGCGCAAC
Molecule: ribosomal RNA, 377 nt
Filed under: Salmonella enterica
Lineage: Bacteria; Pseudomonadati; Pseudomonadota; Gammaproteobacteria; Enterobacterales; Enterobacteriaceae
Also listed under: 1 other name
Description: bacterial SSU rRNA
Rfam family: Bacterial small subunit ribosomal RNA
Source: RNAcentral